This 503-nucleotide ribosomal RNA is filed under the name uncultured bacterium. Its description in RNAcentral is "partial 16S ribosomal RNA". It matches the Rfam family "Bacterial small subunit ribosomal RNA", at positions 30 to 523 of the family's 1533-position model. The record is from RNAcentral.
AUUGAACGCUGGCGGCAGGCUUAACACAUGCAAGUCGAGCGGGGUGAUGGUGCUUGCACUAUCACUUAGCGGCGGACGGGUGAGUAAUGCUUAGGAAUCUGCCUAUUAGUGGGGGACAACAUCUCGAAAGGGAUGCUAAUACCGCAUACGUCCUACGGGAGAAAGCAGGGGAUCACUUGUGACCUUGCGCUAAUAGAUGAGCCUAAGUCGGAUUAGCUAGUUGGUGGGGUAAAGGCCUACCAAGGCGACGAUCUGUAGCGGGUCUGAGAGGAUGAUCCGCCACACUGAGACUGAGACACGGCCCAGACGCCUACGGGGGGCAGCAGUGGGGAAUAUUGGACAAUGGGGGGGACCCUGAUCCAGCCAUGCCGCGUGUGCGAAGAAGGCCUUAUGGUUGUAAAGCACUUUAAGCGAGGAGGAGGCUCUUUUGGUUAAUACCCAAGAUGAGUGGACGUUACUCGCAGAAUAAGCACCGGCUAACUCUGUGCCAGCCGCCGCCGUAA